GUUUUUUUUGGAGCGGGCGUGUUGCAGGCACGGGGACCAAGAGCCUUGGCGAUCCAAGUGUAUGGAAGGAAGGCGAGAAGAAUCGGGACACAGGGCUGUGGAUUCACCCCCCCCCAAAAAAAACACCCUUCCUUGAAGCUGGAUUAAAGAAGCUCCUACCCUACCAGUCGCGUAAUAUGCCUGAUAGUCGCCAUGGUGACUAUCUGGGAGUCACCAAUUACAUCACUCUGAUAUAUUCCCCCACC
Molecule: long non-coding RNA, 245 nt
Organism: Lagenorhynchus albirostris (white-beaked dolphin)
Lineage: Eukaryota; Metazoa; Chordata; Mammalia; Artiodactyla; Delphinidae
Exons: 2
Source: RefSeq, a predicted model, not a curated record